CCAACCAGGCGGCUCUGUCACGGAAUGGGGAAAAGAAAGGAAAAAAGAAUUGCUGUGAAUCGGGAGAGCGAAAAGGAUUGUGUCCAUCAGAAAGCUGAAAGAACAAUGAUAAGCUCAGUAGCGCAGUACAACAGCUGACAAAACAUACACAGAAUGAGCGACAAUAGGAUUUUCGGAACAACAAAAGGAGUGCAGAAUCCUGCUGGUACAAGGACAACAGAUGGAACAAAGGACGUCACUGGGAUUAUGAUCUGACUGAACAGAGAGGGAGAGGGGAGCCGCUGCCUAACCGAGGGUCAGGAGGAGAUGUAGUACCCAGCCUGCUGCUGGGAAAGUUAAAA
Pelobates fuscus (common spadefoot toad) is the source of this 341-nucleotide long non-coding RNA. RefSeq lists it as uncharacterized. The record is from RefSeq and is a predicted model, not a curated record. Lineage: Eukaryota; Metazoa; Chordata; Amphibia; Anura; Pelobatidae. The transcript is spliced from 3 exons.